Molecule: long non-coding RNA, 828 nt
Filed under: Cyanistes caeruleus (blue tit)
Lineage: Eukaryota; Metazoa; Chordata; Aves; Passeriformes; Paridae
Description: lncRNA (ENSCCEG00000011191.1)
Source: RNAcentral
AAAGUCCACAAAUUAUUUGAUGUUCCAGAUUUCCUUUUUCUUAAACAGUAAGAUCUGAGUUAAGUGAGACUAUUACAGAUUUCUAAAUAAAACCAGCUGUACUUCUAGAAGUGUGAGGAGGAAGAAGCUUGGAAACCCGAUGGCUGAUUUUUAACUCUGCAGCUCUAAACUUUUCAGAUUCAUUCUACUUGAUUUAUCAUUUAUUGUAAAAAAUAACUCAAAUUUAGGUAGCAAUACAACCAAUAAAACAAAAGCAUUGGUUCUUUAAUGAUUUCUCAUGGACUGAUAGCAUUGAAACAAUUGUAGUGUUGUUUUUUCCUCCUUUCACAGCAAUUUUCAAAUUAUGAAAAUUGACUAUUCCAAUCCUAAGCAAUCUGAAAAGAAAGUCUACCCCUUUGAUUCACUCUCUGUCCUGCUACACCGCUCAGAAAAAUUUAUCUGAGUAGUCUGUGCUGCUUUUCAUUGAUCUGAGAGUGAAGGUGAAGAGAUGACAAUGAUACCAACAGGAUUUGGUGCUGUGAACAAUUAAGCUUCUCUUCACUUUCCUCUCCUAAUUUUCUUGUGUUUUCUCUGGCUUUAAGUUUCUUGAUGUGGGUCUUUUAAACUUGAACUUCACAAAGAGUAUUUGUCAAAUGAUGAUGGAAGAAAUACGUUUACUCCAAAUGGCUGGUGCGCUUGUUCCUUUCCUUGCAGGAUAUUCUGGGGCAAUGUAACUUGUGAGCAAUUCAGUGACAGCAAGCCAAUCCUUGGCUGGGCACACGCCUCUGUGGAUAAAUGUGCUGUGCUGCUUGACCUCUGGACCUGUGAAACUGCUCUCAUGGAAAAAGU